Long non-coding RNA from Carassius gibelio (silver crucian carp), 883 nucleotides. RefSeq lists it as uncharacterized. The record is from RefSeq and is a predicted model, not a curated record. Lineage: Eukaryota; Metazoa; Chordata; Actinopteri; Cypriniformes; Cyprinidae. The transcript has 3 exons.
CUAGAUUAUGGUCAUGGACCGACAUUAUGUCUGUGUAGGCAGCUAAUAACGUUUUGUUUCUCCAAGCGCUUGUAUGUGUAAGUUAAUGUUAUUCUGUUACUUGCGAUUAAUAUAUCAAGAGGAAUAAUCGAAAAUGAUUUCUGUCAUAAAUAAGUUGUCACCCUGACCCUGUACUAAAUAUUUAGUUUUCUUUGUAGCACUUUAACCUUUUUUGUCUUUGCUGAAUUGCCCAUAAACAAGACCUCUGUAACUUAUGUCUUCAGAUAAAUUAUGAAUUUCAUCGGAUCACAACCCUUCCUUUACACUCCAAAAUUCAUGUCCAAACUGGAUCUGUUCUCUGAUGAUCUGCUAAAAGUGUUUACCAAAAAGGGUGGAGUGUUUAGAAAAAAGAUUCAAGAUGUGAUGGUGCCAGUGUCUCAGACCAAGCAAGAGUGCAUUCUCAAUGAUCUAUGCAUCUACCUGAAUGAAGAUGAAUAUGAUGCAGUAUUUGGAUGAUGACCCUGCAAGAACCGAAGCGGACAUAAAGACGACCUUUUAGGGAUUCUGUGAUGAAGGCAUGAAUUUGCUGAUGCAACAGAAGACCCUGAAGAUAUCUGCAUUGUGCUGGAAGAUGUAGAGGUGCUUUCUGGUUUAGGUAAUGUAGCAUUGGCUACAGCCAUGCUACUUGGACUAAUAUACUCUUUAAAUCUUACUCAUCCAUAGGAGAUCCAUUACACUUUUAAGGUGCUCCAAAAAAUGAUUCUCGAGCUGAACUUGUGUAAAUUGUCUGCCAAAGCACAGGCGCAGAAAACAAAACUCUUCACUUGGGUGUGCUGUGUUUGAGGAUCCCUUUGUGAAUGCUGUUUUAUUUCCUUGAAUGCUCAUGUGUUUUUGUUGUAUCUGA